Molecule: long non-coding RNA, 2657 nt
Organism: Passer domesticus (house sparrow)
Lineage: Eukaryota; Metazoa; Chordata; Aves; Passeriformes; Passeridae
Exons: 4
Source: RefSeq, a predicted model, not a curated record
AGGCCGAGCGGGGUCCCGCCGGGGGGCAGCGCCGCGGAGCCGGGGGGCGGCGGCGGCAGGCUGGGGAAGGCGGCGGCCGCGGCGGCGGCGGCGGUCCAGGCGGAGUCUAGAGCUGGGUGAUGAGGAGGGAAAGGACUAGCAUCAAGGAAGACAAACUGGUGAUCAGGCAGGGAGCAGAACCAGACAGAAGGAAUUUUGUAUGCUUUUCCACAUUUUUGCAAAGGAAAACAAAAGGAACAGGUGUCCAGGGAGAACCAUGAAGUGCUAUGAAAAAGAAGAAUAUGAAUACAACAGCAGGGACUUAGGAACCUUCUGAUUUACAGGCUGACAAGUGCAGUCUGGGUCCAAAGACCAACAAAUUCACAGUUGGAGACCCUGAGCUGCACCACAAGGCCUUUAUUCUUUCACAGCUUCCCAGUGAUAUCCUUGGGCUCCUGAUGGGGGAAGGACCCUGGCUCUGACCCUGUGGCACCAACCAUCACUGAGGUGGAAAUCAGUGGCUUUGAGCUGCACAGGUGAAGAAGCAGCUCCCACAGCCCUUUGCAAAAUGGUUGGAUGGAAAUUAUUCUGAAAAAAAUUUUAGGAUGGCUCUGUGAGAUGGACCACGAGUGGAAUUGUAGGAACACACUUCCAAGACCCUCCAAUGGUUUAAGGAAAAACGAAAAAAAAAAAAAAAAUCCCCCUGUGAAAUAUAAACAGCCUUCAUGCCAGAGUAGCCUUUGUUCCACCAGUAAUAGAGCUGGAUAAGGCUCAGUUUAGUGGCUCCAGACACAGCUAAGUAAUAAAUGAUUGGUCCCUACCUGCAAGGUGCAUUGCAGAGCUUAAUCGCUUGCUCGCUUCCCCAUGACCACUGAUCUCAGGAUAAAAGACUUUUAACACAGCCAACACGGCGAGCUGAGCAGCAGCAGCCUCUGGGAACUUUUGUCUACCUGUCAAAAUCCAAGAAGGUUCAACAUUAAGUAAAACGAAAAAAAUCUCCUGAAGAAAACUUGUGUGAGUUGAAUAAUAUUUCUAUUAAAAACAACAGCAGCACGUAAUGCAAUUUUGAUGUGUUUUCUACCUAGACAAGAAACCUGCCAUGUAAGCCAGCCACCAGUGUGGAGACAAGAGAGGACAUAUUUUGUGGUGUGUCAGAAAGAGAUGUGUAAUCAAUAUCUUCACACCUUUCAGUGUCAGUAAAACAUGCAAGAGCAAGAAAGCCUGGGAAAGAAAAGAGAUAUAAGCGUUAUAAUGUAGGAAUAUCUUAGAAGUAUGUAUAAAACUUGUCAUCACAUAUUCUUUGAGUCUAAAAUAUUGGGAUCUGAGGAAAGAUGUAGCAUAAAUCUCCUCCUUGGUACAAAAGGGUGGGCACAAGGGGACAUUGAUGCUGGAAAAAACACUCUGCAUAGGCAAGGUAUGUAUUUAAGCAUAAAAAUGGGGAUAUGCUUCAAAACCCACGUUUUAUUUUUUCCUUUCCACAUCUUGGGUGUCUUGCAUUUUAUGUCAGACAGUCUUGAUGCCUCCUACUCUACAUUUGGGGCUCGCAGGAUCUGUCCCCUCUUGCCUGUGGGAGCGUGUCCCACCACCACAGAUCCACAGACAGCACUGGUGCCUGGCUAAGCACAUGCUGGUCUCCUGAGAGCUGGAAGAAGGGAGUGUGGGUGUUCAGAUCCAGCUGGGAAAGGCAGGCAUGCUGGGGUCAGACUGGGAGAUGGAGUACACAUUGCAUCAUGGAAAUGGAAGGUGAGGGUCUGUCUGCUCUCCUUUCUCUUUGGACAUGCUUGUGGCACAGAAAAUGAUAACUUUUCACAGCUGAAGGCCAAUACAGAAAAUUCUUACUUUGCCCCUUGCAAAAGCAGAGCCUCCUGGCUAGGUAUCCAAAUCCCAGGGAACCCAGUCAGCUUCAAGGGCCAGGUCUUGAAUGAAUAUGUGCUGCAAAUGGCUGGAUGGGAAGUUACAAACUGCCGAUUACUGGCAUGACUUAUUCAGCAACCCUUGAGAAGAUAUUUGAACAAUUGGAGAAGUUGGUGAUUUGCUCGCUCACAGUGGGACCAUGGGGUGCAAUUCAGCCAGUGACUUAUUACAAUGAAUCAUCUGGGGCUGGAGUGGGGACAUUUUGCUCAAUGCUUCUCUGCUGGCAGGAGCUAAAAAAUGGAAAAUCAGAACAGGCAAAACCUGUCUCUGCUGCGUGGGGCAAUGUCCAACCUCAGUCACCCUCCCUUGUACUUGGGAAAGUCAUGCUGGAGUCAGGAAUGAAGUAGCUGUAGAAGCAGCAAUGUGUGACCUGGGGUAGGGUGCCAGCCCAUUCCCCUGGGAGCUGACCAUGGUUUCAGAAACACUCCUGCUUAAUGGGUGGUACCAGGCAGAUGUGGCAAAAAGAGUUUUUAUUUCCAACAUUUUCCAGUGAAGAAAAAAAAUCAAACAUAAGUUCUUCUCUUCCACCUAAUAAAUGCUGAGCGUUUUCACCCAAGUGUUGGGGACUCAAGGCUCUCAAAAUAGGUGGAAAGGAAAGCUAAGAAGGGGUUUCAAAUUAUUUUCUCUAACAGAAUAAGAAUGAAACCCUGAUGCCAUCAAAGGUAAUAAUUCAGGAUUUCCCUCAGGGAGGUGAAAGUCAUUGUCGUGUUUUUAAAAUAGUUGCAAUUUUCUGUCUCUAAAUAGCACAGACUACAAAAUGUAUU